GUUCAAACACAGCAGCAUUCUCCUGUGUCUUUUCCUUAUAAGUAAGAACAAGGCUCCCUGACCGGCAGCCCUCACCUUUCUGAGCUGUCUGUGAACUCGCAGGGGGGAGUGGCCCCUGCCAACGUGACCUUGUCUCCCAACCUGAGCCCCGACACCAAGCAGGCCUCUCCCUUGAUCAGCCCGCUGCUGAAUGACCAGGCCUGCCCCCGGACGGACGAUGAGGAUGAGGGCCGGAGGAAGAGAUUCCCAACUGAUAAAGCGUACUUCAUAGCUAAGGAAGUGUCUACCACCGAGCGAACAUAUCUGAAGGAUCUCGAAGUUAUCACUUCGUGGUUUCAGAGCACAGUGAGCAAAGAGGACGCCAUGCCAGAAGCACUGAAAAGUCUCAUAUUCCCGAAUUUUGAACCUUUGCACAAAUUUCAUACCAAUUUUCUCAAGGAAAUUGAGCAACGACUUGCCCUGUGGGAAGGCCGCUCAAAUGCCCAAAUCAGAGAUUACCAAAGAAUCGGCGAUGUCAUGCUGAAGAACAUUCAGGGCAUGAAGGCUGGAGUGCAGUGGCGCGAUCUCGGCUCACUGCAGCCUCCGCCUCCCAGGUUCAAGUG
This 602-nucleotide small RNA is filed under the name Pongo abelii (Sumatran orangutan). Its description in RNAcentral is "processed transcript". Lineage: Eukaryota; Metazoa; Chordata; Mammalia; Primates; Hominidae. The record is from RNAcentral.